RNAcentral lists this long non-coding RNA (1962 nucleotides) under Mus musculus (house mouse). RNAcentral's name for it is "long non-coding RNA chr4:11966652-11968614". Lineage: Eukaryota; Metazoa; Chordata; Mammalia; Rodentia; Muridae. The record is from RNAcentral.
GCCCCGUGACCACGCCCUGUUGCUGGUGAAGGUGGGUUUGCGCGUGCCGCGAGGUGGACAGCCUUGGUUGGGUUGCGUUUGGACUCCCAGAUGGGGAAGCGCCUGGGCGGGAUCCAGCAUCCCUGAGCGCGUGGCGCUUUGGUAGCCAGUUGCUUCCUGGCGGGCGGGCUUUCGCGAAUGCCUGGCACUUCUGCUGGGCCCCGCGUGCUGCUCUGGGCUGGCCUGAGAGCCAAGCCUCCUCUGCACUGGGCUGCCCCAGGUAGACCGCGGGAACAACACAAUUGAGGCGUGGCAGAGCGUCUCGGCGGUGUCUCGCUUCAUUCAUUCAAGAUCAAGUUGCUGAUUUUAGGGUUAUUAGGUCGGAUUGAUAGUCAAUUAUUUUUAUGUCUCCGGGCUAGGAAGCUGUAAACAAAAGCAAAAGGAAGUUUGAUGAAGGAAUUCUUAUCUUUGUAGAUAAGAAUAACACGAGUGCUCUUGUUCUUGGAAGGACUUUGAAAUCAGCAUUCCCUCCUUGGUCCCUGACUCAUUCAGAGUUAUGAAUUUUAAAAUGCAGCCAGUGAAAGUGGGAAGAGCACUGAACUUGGAGUCAGAAGAGCCUUUCAAGUUAUUCCCAGUGACAAAAAUCCAUCUUCCUCCCAUGAGACUCAGUUUGCCUAUCUGUGGGGUGAGGUUAGGCUUAAGAUGUGCUAAACAACACACUAAGGGUUCUUGCUGCCAUCUGCGGUUGUCUCUUUAUGGGACAGUGCCUUCUUCACUUACCUACAUCCACAUAGAUGCCAUCUUCAUGACAUGAAACUUUCUUGGGAGAAGCUAUGCUUCUGCCCAGUGUUAAUGAGUUUACGUUGAUUUAUUCUACACCUUAUUAACUAAUAAAGUUUACAAAGUAAUUUGGACUAGAUAGAUGAACUCCCAAGUUUACUGUGAAAUUUUAUUAAUCCUGAAGUAUUUAAAUUUUUAUGUAAUAAAGGAAAAACCUUAUAUAACCAAACCUGCAAUUCAUAAUUCCCCAAAUCUUUCAAGCUGCCUCUAUUUCUAAACUGGAGAAUUUGCUCAUCCCCAGAAGAGGCUUACGGGCAGAGAUGAUUGGUGAGGGGGAAAAUAUAGGUACCUUUCCCCAACCAAGAACAAACAAGCCAAGAUCCCCAUCAGUCCCCUGCCUUCCCCUCUUGGAGAAGAGAUACAUUUAUCCUCUCCUAACAACAAUCAAGAUUAGCCAUUUCUACUUAGAGACAGUCCCAAUAUAUCUGAUGCAAGGGUUUAGUUUGGUGUGUACACAGUAAGGCAAGAGUGUAUCCUCAGCGUUUUAGGGAGAAUGCCAUAUUCCCGGACUUUGCCUAUGCAUAGUUGACUGUGUGUCUAAUUAAUGUCAGGUGCACUACAGACAGGAACCUGCACAGAUGAAAACAGUGAAUGCAGGCCCUAAUCUACCAGGAAAAAGAAAAGCUCUCAUAUUACAACCCUUAUCAACCAAAUUUUCUUGAACUCUCGGAAAGGAAAUCCCGAACAAUAAUUUCAUCCCUCAGUACUCUUCGUGUAGCCUACUGUCAACCUAUAUCUUUUUCUAGUCUGUUAUUGCUUCAUUUCAAUUAAGUUAUUGUGUGAUUUUUUUGCAAAUCUGCGUGAGGCCUUAUUUUCAGUUCUCUGGAUUAAGAGACCAAGAACCUAGAAACGCCUGACUGCUGACUUCUUUACAUAAGAAUUGUAAAUAAUGAGAUUCCAAAAUUCAUGCCUCAACAGCAGAUGACCUUGAAGGCUAUCACAGUAGUCAAACUUGCUCAUAACACAGUGCUAUCCGCGUCGCAUAAAGUUCUCUUUUCAAACUGAUUUUUGUAUCUGCAUGAGAAUUUCCAACUUAUUUUACUAUGUUCAACCUUUUAGUUUUCUACCUGGAUAGUAUUGAUUUCCCCAUCUUAUUCUGGCUUUUGGAUGACCUGUCUAUAUUUGAAAAUAAUGCUGAUUCUC